AUGAUGAUGAUUACAUUUAUUAUUAUUAUUAUUAUUAUUAACAUACAAUUGGCAAUGUUUACUGAUUAUGAUAGUGAUGGCUUUAUGCUUGAAAUUAAUAGACAUAAUAAUUGUCUAAUAACCGAUGAAAAAUGUAGAAUAAAUCAUCCAGAAAAUUGUUGUAGUCGUAUAUGUAAAUUGACUAAGCUAAACAAAUUUUAUGGAAAAUGUGCUAAAUGCGACAAUGGUCAUACUCCCUGUACACGUGGAUCAACAUGUUGUAGUAAAAUAUGUAAUUUUUAUGGCGACUAUAAAAUACCUACCCAGGGUAAAUGUGCUGUUCAUAAAAAACAUCGGUUAAAUUAUUGUGUAAAAUAAUAAUAAU
Molecule: long non-coding RNA, 364 nt
Organism: Oppia nitens
Lineage: Eukaryota; Metazoa; Arthropoda; Arachnida; Sarcoptiformes; Oppiidae
Exons: 3
Source: RefSeq, a predicted model, not a curated record